This 230-nucleotide ribosomal RNA is filed under the name uncultured bacterium. RNAcentral's name for it is "partial 16S ribosomal RNA". It matches the Rfam family "Bacterial small subunit ribosomal RNA", at positions 524 to 753 of the family's 1533-position model. The record is from RNAcentral.
GACAGAGGGUGCAAACGUUGUUCGGAAUUACUGGGCGUAAAGCGCGUGUAGGCGGCUUCGCAAGUCGGGUGUGAAAUCCCACGGCUCAACCGUGGAAGUGCAUUCGAAACUGCGAGGCUAGAGUCCUGGAGAGGAAGGUGGAAUGCUUGGUGUAGAGGUGAAAUUCGUAGAUAUCAAGCGGAACACCGGUGGCGAAGGCGGCCUUCUGGACAGUGACUGACGCUGAGACG